ACUUAAAUUGAAGAGUUUGAUCAUGGCUCAGAUUGAACGCUGGCGGCAGGCCUAACACAUGCAAGUCGAGCGGUAGCACAGAGAGCUUGCUCUCGGGUGACGAGCGGCGGACGGGUGAGUAAUGUCUGGGAAACUGCCUGAUGGAGGGGGAUAACUACUGGAAACGGUAGCUAAUACCGCAUAACGUCGCAAGACCAAAGUGGGGGACCUUCGGGCCUCAUGCCAUCAGAUGUGCCCAGAUGGGAUUAGCUAGUAGGUGGGGUAACGGCUCACCUAGGCGACGAUCCCUAGCUGGUCUGAGAGGAUGACCAGCCACACUGGAACUGAGACACGGUCCAGACUCCUACGGGAGGCAGCAGUGGGGAAUAUUGCACAAUGGGCGCAAGCCUGAUGCAGCCAUGCCGCGUGUGUGAAGAAGGCCUUCGGGUUGUAAAGCACUUUCAGCGGGGAGGAAGGCGGUGAGGUUAAUAACCUCACCGAUUGACGUUACCCGCAGAAGAAGCACCGGCUAACUCCGUGCCAGCAGCCGCGGUAAUACGGAGGGUGCAAGCGUUAAUCGGAAUUACUGGGCGUAAAGCGCACGCAGGCGGUCUGUCAAGUCGGAUGUGAAAUCCCCGGGCUCAACCUGGGAACUGCAUUCGAAACUGGCAGGCUAGAGUCUUGUAGAGGGGGGUAGAAUUCCAGGUGUAGCGGUGAAAUGCGUAGAGAUCUGGAGGAAUACCGGUGGCGAAGGCGGCCCCCUGGACAAAGACUGACGCUCAGGUGCGAAAGCGUGGGGAGCAAACAGGAUUAGAUACCCUGGUAGUCCACGCCGUAAACGAUGUCGAUUUGGAGGUUGUGCCCUUGAGGCGUGGCUUCCGGAGCUAACGCGUUAAAUCGACCGCCUGGGGAGUACGGCCGCAAGGUUAAAACUCAAAUGAAUUGACGGGGGCCCGCACAAGCGGUGGAGCAUGUGGUUUAAUUCGAUGCAACGCGAAGAACCUUACCUGGUCUUGACAUCCACAGAACUUUCCAGAGAUGGAUUGGUGCCUUCGGGAACUGUGAGACAGGUGCUGCAUGGCUGUCGUCAGCUCGUGUUGUGAAAUGUUGGGUUAAGUCCCGCAACGAGCGCAACCCUUAUCCUUUGUUGCCAGCGGUUAGGCCGGGAACUCAAAGGAGACUGCCAGUGAUAAACUGGAGGAAGGUGGGGAUGACGUCAAGUCAUCAUGGCCCUUACGACCAGGGCUACACACGUGCUACAAUGGCAUAUACAAAGAGAAGCGACCUCGCGAGAGCAAGCGGACCUCAUAAAGUAUGUCGUAGUCCGGAUUGGAGUCUGCAACUCGACUCCAUGAAGUCGGAAUCGCUAGUAAUCGUAGAUCAGAAUGCUACGGUGAAUACGUUCCCGGGCCUUGUACACACCGCCCGUCACACCAUGGGAGUGGGUUGCAAAAGAAGUAGGUAGCUUAACCUUCGGGAGGGCGCUUACCACUUUGUGAUUCAUGACUGGGGUGAAGUCGUAACAAGGUAACCGUAGGGGAACCUGCGGUUGGAUCACCUCCUUACCUUAAAGAA
This 1554-nucleotide ribosomal RNA is filed under the name Klebsiella pneumoniae. Its description in RNAcentral is "bacterial SSU rRNA". It matches the Rfam family "Bacterial small subunit ribosomal RNA". RNAcentral also lists the same sequence under 1 other name. Lineage: Bacteria; Pseudomonadati; Pseudomonadota; Gammaproteobacteria; Enterobacterales; Enterobacteriaceae. The record is from RNAcentral.